CGUAGGUGGCAAGCGUUGUCCGGAUUUAUUGGGUUUAAAGGGUGCGUAGGCGGCCCUGUAAGUCAGUGCUGAAAUAUCCCGGCUUAACCGGGAGGGUGGCAUUGAUACUGCAGGGCUUGUGUAAAGUUGAGGUUGGCGGAAUUGACGGUGUAGCGGUGAAAUGCUUAGAUAUCGUCAAGAACACCGAUAGUGAAGACAGCUAACUAAGCUUUAACUGACGCUGAGGCACGAAAGUGUGGGGAUCAAACAGGAUUAGAUACCCUGGUAGUCCACACUGUAAACGUUGAUUACUCGAUGUUGGCGAUACACAGUCAGCGUCUUAGCGCAAGCGAUAAGUAAUCCACCUGGGGAGUACGCCGGCAACGGUG
Molecule: ribosomal RNA, 368 nt
Filed under: uncultured organism
Description: bacterial SSU rRNA
Rfam family: Bacterial small subunit ribosomal RNA
Source: RNAcentral